RNAcentral lists this long non-coding RNA (1073 nucleotides) under Eucalyptus grandis. Its description in RNAcentral is "long non-coding RNA (EGRA_LNC007564)". Lineage: Eukaryota; Viridiplantae; Streptophyta; Magnoliopsida; Myrtales; Myrtaceae. The record is from RNAcentral.
UGGCGACAAUCAAUAUCUGCCAAAAAUUAUCAUCUCAAUCUUCAUCUCUCUCUGACCAAAAAAAAAAAAAAAAAAAUCUUCAUCUCUCUCUGAUAAAAAAAAAAAAAAAACUGUCAUCGCUCAUGUCAUGGUGGGUCAUGCAUGAUCUGGUGCAUUGAAUAAUGCUCAAAUCUUCAUCUCCUUUUUCAGAGCUAAGUCAGAUUUUCUUUCCAUAACAAUUCUCAAAAAGAGAAAAAAAAAGAAAAGAAUAAUCAAUACUGACAAUAAUAUAGAAAAAUUAUGCAGAAAAGGAGUUGCUUAUCCGGAGUCCUUAUCGGCAUUAGCCUCCGGCGAUGUUAGAUGCGUCGAUAGAGACAUUCGAGCUGAUAUUUGUCGUUCGCUUAUGCAAGGUUUCUGGUUAAAAAUCCUGAAUAAUCAACAGUAAUAGAGAUGAGUUAUGCAAGCAAAGAGUUGCUUAUUCAGGAUCCUUUUCAGCAUUAGCCUCCGACGAGGUUUGACGUGUCGGCAUACACAUUCAAGCUGAUACGAGGUUUCUGGUUAGAAAUCCUGCUUCGAAAUUCAACCCGAUUAUUCUACCCGUUCAGCAAGCUUGCCUGCCCUGCGCACAAGCAAAUACAUACGAACAUGCGUGCUGCACAUGCAUGACAUAAACGAUACGAAAGCACAAGAGGAACCCGAGAUCUAUUUGCUAGACCCGUUAAACGGGUGGGCCGGGUCGGGUUUGGGUCGGGUCAUAAAUGGUCCGAUCCAAAUCGACCCAUUUAACCCGUUUAUGACCCAUUUAUUAUAGUGCAAAUUUUUUGACCCUUACCCGAUCCGAUCUAUACCCAACCCAUACCCGACCCAUUUAACGAAACAUAAAAAAGCUUAUAUAUAUAUAUUUUAAAAUGGUAUUGCUAACAUGAUUUUAUACAAUACAAAUUUUAAAAAUAAUUAUUUAAAAAAAUCGAAUUUUAAUUAUUUUUUAUUUUUAAAAAUUAAUUUUUUUAUUAUUUUUAUUAUUUUUUAAUUUCUUUUUCUCUUUUCUCUUUUCUCUUUUCUCUUUUCUUUUUUAUUUUUUAUGUUUUCUUCUU